Molecule: ribosomal RNA, 497 nt
Filed under: uncultured bacterium
Lineage: Bacteria
Description: partial 16S ribosomal RNA
Rfam family: Bacterial small subunit ribosomal RNA
Source: RNAcentral
GACGAACGCUGGCGGCGUGCCUAAUACAUGCAAGUAGAACGCUGAAGAGAGGAGCUUGCUCUUCUUGGAUGAGUUGCGAACGGGUGAGUAACGCGUAGGUAACCUGCCUUGUAGCGGGGGAUAACUAUUGGAAACGAUAGCUAAUACCGCAUAACAAUGGAUGACCCAUGUCAUUUAUUUGAAAGGGGCAAAUGCUCCACUACAAGAUGGACCUGCGUUGUAUUAGCUAGUGGGUGAGGUAACGGCUCACCUAGGCGACGAUACAUAGCCGACCUGAGAGGGUGAUCGGCCACACUGGGACUGAGACACGGCCCAGACUCCUACGGGAGGCAGCAGUAGGGAAUCUUCGGCAAUGGGGGCAACCCUGACCGAGCAACGCCGCGUGAGUGAAGAAGGGUUUCGGAUCGUAAAGCUCUGUUGUAAGUCAAGAACGAGUGUGAGAGUGGAAAGUUCACACUGUGACGGUAGCUUACCAGAAAGGGACGGCUAACUACGUG